AAAUUGAAGAGUUUGAUCAUGGCUCAGAUUGAACGCUGGCGGCAGGCCUAACACAUGCAAGUCGAACGGUAACAGGAAGCAGCUUGCUGCUUCGCUGACGAGUGGCGGACGGGUGAGUAAUGUCUGGGAAACUGCCUGAUGGAGGGGGAUAACUACUGGAAACGGUGGCUAAUACCGCAUAACGUCGCAAGACCAAAGAGGGGGACCUUCGGGCCUCUUGCCAUCAGAUGUGCCCAGAUGGGAUUAGCUGGUAGGUGGGGUAACGGCUCACCUAGGCGACGAUCCCUAGCUGGUCUGAGAGGAUGACCAGCCACACUGGAACUGAGACACGGUCCAGACUCCUACGGGAGGCAGCAGUGGGGAAUAUUGCACAAUGGGCGCAAGCCUGAUGCAGCCAUGCCGCGUGUAUGAAGAAGGCCUUCGGGUUGUAAAGUACUUUCAGCGGGGAGGAAGGUGUUGUGGUUAAUAACCGCAGCAAUUGACGUUACCCGCAGAAGAAGCACCGGCUAACUCCGUGCCAGCAGCCGCGGUAAUACGGAGGGUGCAAGCGUUAAUCGGAAUUACUGGGCGUAAAGCGCACGCAGGCGGUCUGUCAAGUCGGAUGUGAAAUCCCCGGGCUCAACCUGGGAACUGCAUUCGAAACU
Molecule: ribosomal RNA, 644 nt
Filed under: Salmonella enterica
Lineage: Bacteria; Pseudomonadati; Pseudomonadota; Gammaproteobacteria; Enterobacterales; Enterobacteriaceae
Description: bacterial SSU rRNA
Rfam family: Bacterial small subunit ribosomal RNA
Source: RNAcentral